This 1850-nucleotide long non-coding RNA is filed under the name Canis lupus familiaris (dog). RNAcentral's name for it is "lncRNA (ENSCAFG00030014728.1)". Lineage: Eukaryota; Metazoa; Chordata; Mammalia; Carnivora; Canidae. The record is from RNAcentral.
CCUGUGGCAGCUCCAGCCUGUUGGCGUCUCCACAAGUGCCUGGGCCUGGCUGUGCCCAUGUGUUUGCUAUGUUGCUGCUGUCACCGCCAACUGCUCUGUCAACCGUGGGAGUGUGGGCCUGGGCUCCAGGAGCUGUUGUCCCAACUCUGAUUGUGGUUCCAGACUUAGUCACAUUUCUGUCCCAGGCUCUCUCACAGUCCCUGUUUCAGCCUCUGCCAUAGCACUGUGGCAGCAUCUGUCGUAGUACCUGUCACAGCCCCUGUCACAGCCUCUGUCACAGCCCCUGUCACAGCCUCUGUCACAGCCUCUGUCACAACCCCUGUCAUAAACUCUGUCACAGCCUCUAUCACAUACUCUCUCACAGCCCCUGUUGCAGACUCUGUCACAGCCUCUGUCACAGCCCAUCACAGCCCCUGUCACAGCAUCUGUCACAGCCCCUGUCACAGCAUCUGUCACAGCCUCUGUCAGAAUCCCUGUUGCAGACUCUGUCACAGCCUCUAUCACAUACUCUGUCACAGCCCCUGUCAUAGCAUCUGUCACAGCCCCUGUUGCAAACUCUGUCACAGCCCCUGUCACAGACUCUGUCACAGCCCCUGUUGCAGCACCUGUCACAUACUCUGUCACAGCCCGUCACAGCCUCUGUCACAGCCCCUCUCACAGCCCCGUCACAGCCCCUGUCACAGCCCCUGUCGCAGACUCUGUCACAGCCCCUGUCACAGCCCCUGUAGCAGACUCUGUCACAGCCCCUGUCACAGCCCCUGUCACAGCCCCUGCCACAGCCCCUGUCACAGCCUCUGUCACAGCCCCUGUCACAGCAUCUGUCACAGCCUCUGUCACAACCCCUGUCGUAAACUCUGUCACAGCCUCUAUCACAUACUCUCUCACAGCCCCUGUCGCAGACUCUAUCACAGCCCCAUCACAGCAUGUCACAGCCUCUGUCAGAACCCCUGCUGCAGACUCUGUCACAGCCUCUAUCACAUACUCUGUCACAGCCCCUGUCACAGUGUCUGUCACAGCUUCUGUCACAGCCCCUGUAGCAAACUCUGUCACAGCCCCUGUCACAGCCUCUGUCACAGCCCCUGUUGCAGCACCUGUCACAGCGUCUGUCACAGCCCCUGUCGCAAACUCUGUCACAGCCCCUGUCACAGACUCUGUCACAGCCCCUGUUGCAGCACCUGUCACAUACUCUGUCACAGCCCGUCACAGCCUCUGUCACAGCCCCUGUCACAGCCUCUGUCACAGCCCCUGUUGCAGCACCUGUCACAUACUCUGUCAAGCCUGUCACAACCUGUCACAGCCCCUGUCACAGCCUCUGUCACAGCGCCUGCCACAGCCCGUCACAGCCCCUGUCACAGCAUCUGUUACAGCCUCUGUCACAGCCCCUAUCGCAGACUCUGUCACAGCCUCUAUCACAUACUCUGUCACAGCCCCUGUCAUAGCGUCUGUCACAGCGUCUGUCACAGCCCCUGUCGCAAACUCUGUCACAGCCCCUGUCGCAGCACCUGUCACAUACUCUGUCACAGCCCGUCACAGCCUCUGUCACAGCCCCUGCCCCAGCCCCUGCCCCAGCCCCUGUCGCAGCGCCUGCCACAGCCCCGCCCCCGUCUCCCUGCCGCUGCCUCUGCCCUGGGCCCUGCCGCGUGGCCUGCGGGGCACAGCUCUCAUUACCCAGCGGAACUGUCUCUCUCUGGAAGGCGUCCAGGGAGAGGCUCAUGUAAUAGCAGGUUACCCUGACGUGCAGGGCUCGCGGGGGGGGGGGGGGGGGGGCCGCGCCCGGGGCCUGCACGAAGCAUGUGCUUUGCGGGGCGCCGAGAGCCGCUGCCAGGCCUGGCUGGGGCUCCCGCACGCGC